GACGAACGCUGGCGGCGUGCUUAACACAUGCAAGUCGAACGGAAAGGCCCUGCUUUUGUGGGGUGCUCGAGUGGCGAACGGGUGAGUAACACGUGAGUAACCUGCCCUUGACUUUGGGAUAACUUCAGGAAACUGGGGCUAAUACCGGAUAGGAGCUCCUGCUGCAUGGUGGGGGUUGGAAAGUUUCGGCGGUUGGGGAUGGACUCGGGGCUUAUCAGCUUGUUGGUGGGGUAGUGGCUUACCAAGGCUUUGACGGGUAGCCGGCCUGAGAGGGUGACCGGCCACAUGGGGACUGAGAUACGGACCAGACGCCAACGGGAGGCAGCAGUGGGGAAUAUUGCACAACGGGCGGAAGCCUGAUGAAGAGACGCCGCGUGCGGGAUGACGGCCUUGGGGUUGUAAACCGCUUUAGCCUGUGACGAAGCGGGAGUGACGGUAAUGGGUAAAGAAGCACCGGCUAACUACGUG
RNAcentral lists this ribosomal RNA (468 nucleotides) under uncultured bacterium. Its description in RNAcentral is "partial 16S ribosomal RNA". It matches the Rfam family "Bacterial small subunit ribosomal RNA", at positions 28 to 507 of the family's 1533-position model. The record is from RNAcentral.